CGAGACUAAUUAACUGAUUUUCUCUUUCUCUAUAUAUAUGGUGGUUCACUUCCUUCCCAUUACUGUUAAGGAUGUUGCUGAAUUAUGGACCCAAACGAUGGCAAAGGAAUUCUCUUCUUAUUGCUUUGUGGUGCUACUGAAGUGUGAGGGAUUAUGACCUAAACCAUGGAUACUCCUCUUCUUGCUUUGUGCUACUGAAGUGGAACUGGACAAGGCCACAAAAUUCAACGCGGUGCUUUUUAACGGGGUUGUUUGUUUCUUUUUGGUUUAACAGGUGUGUGCGUGUUCCAACUUUCAUCUGAGUAGUUUGCUUUACU
This is a non-coding RNA of Camelina sativa (false flax), 317 nucleotides long. NCBI's taxonomy places the organism in Eukaryota, Viridiplantae, Streptophyta, Magnoliopsida, Brassicales, Brassicaceae. The record is from RefSeq and is a predicted model, not a curated record.